Pelobates cultripes (western spadefoot toad) is the source of this 251-nucleotide non-coding RNA. NCBI's taxonomy places the organism in Eukaryota, Metazoa, Chordata, Amphibia, Anura, Pelobatidae. The record is from the annotation of a GenBank genome assembly.
CCUAUUGCUACAUCGACCAUAGACUCCGCUUGACCAAGGGGAAUGGAGCCCGGUCGGUAUCAAUAGUCUUCCAUGAUAGUGUCAGCCAGACCCACAAAAUCUCUAUCCUCUCUUUCUCUAGGUCUCUGCAUGGGUGUAUAGUAUCUGUCUCCUUGAACACUUCCUCUACUAGUCCCACCAUUCCCUCUAAAACUUCCUCUUCCUCUAUAACUACCACUAUAACCUCCUAGUACCCUUCUCUCUCCUUGUCU